RNAcentral lists this ribosomal RNA (269 nucleotides) under uncultured bacterium. RNAcentral's name for it is "partial 16S ribosomal RNA". It matches the Rfam family "Bacterial small subunit ribosomal RNA", at positions 333 to 599 of the family's 1533-position model. The record is from RNAcentral.
GUUCACCUACGGGACGCAGCAGUGAGGAAUAUUGGUCAAUGGUCGGGAGACUGAACCAGCCAAGCCGCGUGAGGGAUGAAGGUACAGAGUAUCGUAAACCUCUUUUGUCAGGGAACAAAGGCGGGGACGCGUCCCCGGAUGAGUGUACCUGAAGAAAAAGCAUCGGCUAACUCCGUGCCAGCAGCCGCGGGAAUACGGAGGAUGCGAGCGUUAUCCGGAGUUAUUGGGUUUAAAGGGUGCGCAGGCGGGCUGUUAAGCCGGCGGUAAAA